This 502-nucleotide ribosomal RNA is filed under the name uncultured bacterium. RNAcentral describes it as "bacterial SSU rRNA". It matches the Rfam family "Bacterial small subunit ribosomal RNA", at positions 28 to 521 of the family's 1533-position model. The record is from RNAcentral.
GAUGAACGCUAGCGGCAGGCUUAAUACAUGCAAGUCGAGGGGCAGCAUGAGUAGCAAUACUUGAUGGCGACCGGCAAACGGGUGCGGAACACGUACAGAACCUUCCUUCGAGCGGGGAAUAGCCCGGAGAAAUCCGGAUUAAUACCCCAUAGUAAAUUGAAAAGGCAUCUUUUUAAUUUUAAAGAUUUAUCACUUGAAGAUGGCUGUGCGCCUGAUUAGGUAGUUGGCGGGGUAACGGCCCACCAAGCCUUCGAUCAGUAACUGGUGUGAGAGCACGACCAGUCACACGGGCACUGAGACACGGGCCCGACUCCUACGGGAGGCAGCAGUAAGGAAUAUUGGUCAAUGGACGCAAGUCUGAACCAGCCAUGCCGCGUGGAGGAUGAAGGUCCUCUGGAUUGUAAACUUUCUUUUUAUUUGGGAAGAAAUGCUAUUUUUUCUAAAGUGCUUGACGGUACCAGAUGAAUAAGCACCGGCUAACUCCGUGCCAGCAGCCGACGGU